This 66-nucleotide transfer RNA is filed under the name Helianthus annuus (common sunflower). RNAcentral describes it as "tRNA HanXRQr2_Chr02g0054401". The stretch from base 6 to 61 matches the Rfam family "tRNA", at positions 10 to 63 of the family's 71-position model. From Rfam's summary of the family: Transfer RNA (tRNA) molecules are approximately 80 nucleotides in length. Their secondary structure includes four short double-helical elements and three loops (D, anti-codon, and T loops). Lineage: Eukaryota; Viridiplantae; Streptophyta; Magnoliopsida; Asterales; Asteraceae. The record is from RNAcentral.
ACCCUGUUCAGUUGGUAGAGCACGUGGCUUUUAACCACGUGGUCGUGGGUUCGAGUCCCACGGAUG